CUGUAUUCUUUUCUCUCAUCCGAUGAAUCGAUGAACCCUGGUGAAACCAUUUGUCGAGAAACCAUUAUGAAAUCUCUUCAAUCUGUUCAAUAAUCUUCAAUCAUCGAUCUAUAGAGAGCAACUGCUGCGUUCUGUAUGUGAAUCGGUGGUUUCAUCAUCAUCUUCUUCUUAAAAACCAAUCAGCAUCAUAUCUGACCGAUUGACAGCUGCAAACCUAAAAAGUGUCGCCAAGAAUGCAAAAAGAGUUGCCCCGUUGCCAAGACUGAAAUGCCCAUUUUAAGCCAUUCAGAUUAUCAACCUGUAUAAAGAUUUGGAUAAGGAUACAACACAUCGUUGCAGUCCUACCACUUUCAAGUUGCACAGGUAUCACAACGUUGAUUGGAGGUGGGACUGGUCCUGCUGAUGGAACUCGUGCAACUACAUGUACUCCUGGACCAGUACACUGAACACUGAAGGUGCAGGCGGUGGUCAUGCUCCAAAUAUCAUCGAAGUAUCUGGUGUAAUAAAUGUCUUGCCUUCAUCCACCAACCCAACUCGUCCUUAUACUCUUAAUACAGUAGAUGAGCACCUCGACAUGCUAGUAAGAAGAACACAAAAAUAAAAUUUUAUCUUUUUUUUCCUAAUUCUUGUUUUUUAUCUCUUAUUCUUUCGGCCUCUUAAACUGGUCUGAGUUUCAUAUACAUGGUUUCUCAUCAUCUUGAUGAGAAUAUCCCAGAAAACAUAUCAUCUGUUGAAUCUCGGAUAAGGGCUGAGACAAUUGCUGCAGAAGACAUUUUGCGUGCAUGUCUGGGGGCCAUCAGUAUUAUUUCUUCUGAUUCGCAAGCUUGGGUCGUAUUGGAGAGGUUAUGCAACGAACUAAAGCUGAAGGAGAUACAGCUGCGAUGGAGAUAAUUGUUAUCGGGAAUUUAAGCUAGAAUGUUUGAGCUAAUGGGUUGUCAUGGUUGUUUGCAGUUCAGGUUAAGAAGUAGAGGGAAUGGUCAGUUGUGUGUAUGAUGCAGUUGGAAGGGCUUGAUUGAGUCUGAAAUCGGGUGACUGAGAUUAGCAUAAGAAGAAGCUUAUUGAUAAUGGAAUCUAGACUGUAUAUGAUGAUGUUGCAGUUGAGAUUGGUUGAUGUGUAUGGAUUCUUAGAAUGAAUGGGUUGCUUCUGAAAUAAGCUGCAGAGAUGAUGCUGCUGCCAAGCAAGUGAUAUUAAUUUCAGAUGCGGGUUCUGGGAUCAAAUCUAGAAUCUCAUUAGCUUUAACGGCUGGUACAACUAAAACAACAUUGAACAAUGGUCAGGUUGAAGAUGCUCCUGAUGCAAACACAGAUAAAAGUUCUGCAUCUACCACACUAAUCCUCCUAGGCAUGAUGUUAGUCGCUGGCUUAGGUGCUGUGAUGUUCUUGGGGGUCACAGCUGGUGCAUACAUUCUUACGCUCUUUGCUGAACUUCUUAUUGAUUUGAUUAACUUAUAAACGAGGAGAAAAUCUAAUGCCAUAAGUGCUCAAAUUUUUACGUGGCAGUGGAGCCUCAGCAAAUCCCACAUAAGUAACUACUCCUGUUUCUCGAUUUAAGUACCAGGAGCUGGGAGUACUACUUUACAUUGUGUACAUUGAUGUAUUCAAUGGAAAACACGGAUGAGGUCCAGUUUUUGUAAGAAACUUUUGAAGCUGUGGUACUUGAUUAUGUUCAUUGACACCAUCAUGCUGCAAGGGGAUUUCCUACAUCGAAUUUUCUGAUGACCAAGCUUUCAACAAAAGCAAGCAUGCAAAGGAUAUAAAGCUUAGCUGCAAGGGUGGAGAACAAAGCAGCUUCAAGAUUUGUAAGUUGCGGUUAUUCAACUUUUGUAGGCAGUUAGUAAGUUUCCGUGUUCCCUUAGAAGUUUGGACCUUCCAUGUAUUCCCUUAGAAAAUUUGAUACUUCACAAAAAACAAAAAGUUUGGUAGUUAGAGAAAUUUCAAAAAGUUUGGUACCUAGAGAAAUUUUAGUUCUUUUGUAAUUUAUAUAU
Long non-coding RNA from Papaver somniferum (opium poppy), 1985 nucleotides. RefSeq lists it as uncharacterized. Lineage: Eukaryota; Viridiplantae; Streptophyta; Magnoliopsida; Ranunculales; Papaveraceae. The record is from RefSeq and is a predicted model, not a curated record. The transcript has 11 exons.